This 712-nucleotide ribosomal RNA is filed under the name Escherichia coli. Its description in RNAcentral is "partial 23S ribosomal RNA". It matches the Rfam family "Bacterial large subunit ribosomal RNA", at positions 117 to 874 of the family's 2925-position model. Lineage: Bacteria; Pseudomonadati; Pseudomonadota; Gammaproteobacteria; Enterobacterales; Enterobacteriaceae. The record is from RNAcentral.
AUGGGGAAACCCAGUGUGUUUCGACACACUAUCAUUAACUGAAUCCAUAGGUUAAUGAGGCGAACCGGGGGAACUGAAACAUCUAAGUACCCCGAGGAAAAGAAAUCAACCGAGAUUCCCCCAGUAGCGGCGAGCGAACGGGGAGGAGCCCAGAGCCUGAAUCAGUGUGUGUGUUAGUGGAAGCGUCUGGAAAGGCGCGCGAUACAGGGUGACAGCCCCGUACACAAAAAUGCACAUAUUGUGAGCUCGAUGAGUAGGGCGGGACACGUGGUAUCCUGUCUGAAUAUGGGGGGACCAUCCUCCAAGGCUAAAUACUCCUGACUGACCGAUAGUGAACCAGUACCGUGAGGGAAAGGCGAAAAGAACCCCGGCGAGGGGAGUGAAAAAGAACCUGAAACCGUGUACGUACAAGCAGUGGGAGCCUCUUAAUGGGGUGACUGCGUACCUUUUGUAUAAUGGGUCAGCGACUUAUAUUCUGUAGCAAGGUUAACCGAAUAGGGGAGCCGAAGGGAAACCGAGUCUUAACUGGGCGUUAAGUUGCAGGGUAUAGACCCGAAACCCGGUGAUCUAGCCAUGGGCAGGUUGAAGGUUGGGUAACACUAACUGGAGGACCGAACCGACUAAUGUUGAAAAAUUAGCGGAUGACUUGUGGCUGGGGGUGAAAGGCCAAUCAAACCGGGAGAUAGCUGGUUCUCCCCGAAAGCUAUUUAGG